Molecule: ribosomal RNA, 465 nt
Filed under: uncultured bacterium
Lineage: Bacteria
Description: partial 16S ribosomal RNA
Rfam family: Bacterial small subunit ribosomal RNA
Source: RNAcentral
GACGAACGCUGGCGGCGUGCUUAACACAUGCAAGUCGAACGGAAAGGCCCCUUUGGGGGUACUCGAGUGGCAAACGGGUGAGUAACACGUGAGUAACCUGCCCUUGACUUCGGGAUAACUUCAGGAAACUGGGGCUAAUACCGGAUAGGAAUCCUUGCUGCAUGGUGGGGGUUGGAAAGCUUCGGCGGUUUUGGAUGGACUCGCGGCUUAUCAGCUUGUUGGUGGGGUAGUGGCUUACCAAGGCUUUGACGGGUAGCCGGCCUGAGAGGGCGACCGGCCACAUUGGGACUGAGAUACGGCCCAGACUCCUACGGGAGGCAGCAGUGGGGAAUAUUGCACAAUGGGCGGAAGCCUGAUGCAGCAACGCCGCGUGCGGGAGGACGGCCUUCGGGUUGUAAACCGCUUUCAGCAGGGGCGAAGCUUGUGGUGACGGUACCUGCAGAAGAAGCACCGGCUAACUACGUG